Molecule: long non-coding RNA, 648 nt
Organism: Armigeres subalbatus
Lineage: Eukaryota; Metazoa; Arthropoda; Insecta; Diptera; Culicidae
Exons: 3
Source: RefSeq, a predicted model, not a curated record
CGAAAAUGUCAAAUGUAUUUAUUCAUAAAACAAAACAAACAAAUUCGAUACCAACUAAUAUUUUAUUUUACCAGUUCUUCAUACCUAUAUAGGUUUGUUUUUUAAUCGUUUGUGCUAAAACAAUAUGAGAAAUCGAUGCCAUGACCGCAAAGCGCAAACCAUCCGAAACCAUAUUUUGCUCUCGGUAAGCCUUCGCUGUGAAUAUUCUAAAACGGAUGGACACAAGGGUGGACAACGGAAGUGCGAAGUGGCUGUGAUGUGUUUGCUGACCAAAUGAAAUACCUAUUAUGCUUGCCAAGUUUGAGAAAAAGAAAAAAAUACCCAACGCACCUAUAGGCACCAGAGUGCUUGACGCCUAUCGGUAUGAAACUAAAUGGAAUCUUUCUGCCAGAUUAAGUAAUAAAAUUCUUGAACGAAAACGGAUGCAAAAUGGAUUUGGAACGGAUGAAUGUGGACCACGGAUAAUUUUACAGUUGCAAAUGUAAUCCAGACCAGGCGAUUUUUACCAGUUUCGAUGUAUUCCGUUCUGGUGAUCAUCGAAGGAACAAAACAUUACGUGACAUUUGAAGGCAACCACAGAAAAACGAAGCCAAAUUUUGUUAUCGUUGAUGCGAUGGGUCCUGGUCAACCAGAAAAGAGGUCAAGCGG